AACGAACGCUGGCGGCAGGCUUAACACAUGCAAGUCGAACGCUCCGCAAGGAGAGUGGCAGACGGGUGAGUAACGCGUGGGAACAUACCCCUCGGUUCGGAAUAACUCAGGGAAACUUGAGCUAAUACCGAAUACGGUCGAGAGGCGAAAGAUUUAUCGCCGAGGGAUUGGCCCGCGUCCGAUUAGCUAGUUGGUGAGGUAAUGGCUCACCAAGGCGACGAUCGGUAGCUGGUCUGAGAGGAUGAUCAGCCACAUUGGGACUGAGACACGGCCCAAACUCCUACGGGAGGCAGCAGUGGGGAAUAUUGGACAAUGGGCGAAAGCCUGAUCCAGCCAUGCCGCGUGAGUGAUGACGGCCUUAGGGUUGUAAAGCUCUUUCAUCAGGGACGAUAAUGACGGUACCUGAAGAAGAAGCCCCGGCUAACUUCGUGCCAGCAGCCGCGGUAAUACGAAGGGGGCUAGCGUUGUUCGGAAUUACUGGGCGUAAAGCGCAUGUAGGGCGGGGUCUUUAAGUCAGGGGUGAAACGCCAAGGCUCGACCUUGGAACUGCCUUUGAUACUGGAGAUUCUUGAGUCCGGGAGAGGUGAGUGGAACUGCGAGUGUAGAGGUGAAAUUCGUAGAUAUUCGCAAGAACACCAGUGGCGAAGGCGGCUCACUGGCCCGGUACUGACGCUGAGAUGCGAAAGCGUGGGGAGCAAACAGGAUUAGAUACCCUGGUAGUCCACGCUGUAAACGAUGGAUGCUAGCCGUUAGGCAGCUUGCUGCUUAGUGGCGCAGUUAACACUUUAAGCAUCCCGCCUGGGGAGUACGGUCGCAAGAUA
This 821-nucleotide ribosomal RNA is filed under the name uncultured bacterium. RNAcentral describes it as "bacterial SSU rRNA". It matches the Rfam family "Bacterial small subunit ribosomal RNA", at positions 28 to 895 of the family's 1533-position model. The record is from RNAcentral.